UGACAUCAGUGCUGUUUGUUUGUUUGUUUGUGUGUUUUCUGUUUGUAUCAGUUCGCUUCGUUUCCAGGACGUACGGAACAAGACUUCCGUACGCUAUACGCGGAAGACGUCUUUGUUUACGGCAUUCUUUACGGCUUUAUUUACGACAUUCUUUACGGCUUUAUUUACAAGUUGUAUUGUGCUACAUUAGCUUACUUCCGUUUGUGUUGUUAUUUUGGGAACUUUUGGGCCUUCGUUAUGGCUCCCAGGCAUUAAGUAUGUUUUUAUGUCCUAGAUCACAAUUCAAGGCCCGUGGGCCAAAUGCGGCCCGCCAAUUCAUUUAUAUGGCUCCGUAUUUAAUAAGUUCCAAGCAGUAGUUGUUCAAUAUUUGUAAUUUGAAUAAAUAUUCAAUCGCAGAAACAUUUAUUAAUACGUUAUGGUGCUGUUACAUCUAUUGUACAGCCUUCCAUGUAGAACAACAUUAUGGUGUGCUAACUGUGUUAGCGUAGCUAACUGACAUCGGUACGUAUGGCAGUAGGUGAGCUAUGACGCACUGCGAAAAUUGAAUUUACGUCGCGCCACAGGAACGGAACUCUGGUGAAUUCUCUGUAAGGUUUUCCCGUUCUGAACCUGAAGGUUGCUGCUACCAGGGAAUUCUGUUGCCUUCCCAGUC
Molecule: long non-coding RNA, 652 nt
Organism: Cynoglossus semilaevis (tongue sole)
Lineage: Eukaryota; Metazoa; Chordata; Actinopteri; Pleuronectiformes; Cynoglossidae
Exons: 2
Source: RefSeq, a predicted model, not a curated record